UUGCAAGAUCAGCUUCUUGUUUGGACUUCGAAACUGAAACCUGGUCCAGGCAAUCGGCAAAUCAUCCUGCCAUCUUGCGAUACUGUAUCCAAGCCAGCUUAAACUCACCUGGAUCUGAUGUCCUGAUUUUCUGGGCCCUUUCGGCUGGCACAUGC
Molecule: small nucleolar RNA, 155 nt
Filed under: Zea mays
Lineage: Eukaryota; Viridiplantae; Streptophyta; Magnoliopsida; Poales; Poaceae
Description: Zm_54
Source: RNAcentral